This 452-nucleotide ribosomal RNA is filed under the name Melanoides tuberculata. RNAcentral's name for it is "partial 16S ribosomal RNA". It matches the Rfam family "Bacterial large subunit ribosomal RNA", at positions 1854 to 2575 of the family's 2925-position model. The record is from RNAcentral. Lineage: Eukaryota; Metazoa; Mollusca; Gastropoda; Thiaridae.
GAACCUGCCCAGUGAACAGUUUAACGGCCGCGGUACCCUGACCGUGCAAAGGUAGCAUAAUCAUUUGCCUUAUAAUUGAAGGCUUGUAUGAAUGGUCUGACGAAAGCAAUACUGUCUCUUCUUUAUUAUCUAGAAAUUAACCUAUGGGUGAAGAGGCCUAUAUUAUAUUGAAGGACAAGAAGACCCUGUCGAGCUUUAGAGUAAAGCAGGAAUAUAAGUAUUAAAAAAAAUCAAUGACUACAUAACUCUUUAGUUGGGGCGACUAAGGAACAAAUAAAGCUUCUUUUAGUUUUUUAGAUCAAUAAAUUUAGAUCCAGCAAAGCUGAUUAAAAGAAUUAGUUACCGCAGGGAUAACAGCAUAAUCUCCUUUGAGAGACCUAAUCGAAAGAGGGGGUUGUGACCUCGAUGUUGGACUAGAAUAUCCUGAAGAUGCAGACGUCUUCGAAGGUUGG